CGCGGCCUAUCAGCUUGUUGGUGGGGUAGUGGCCUACCAAGGCGACGACGGGUAGCCGGCCUGAGAGGGUGACCGGCCACACUGGGACUGAGACACGGCCCAGACUCCUACGGGAGGCAGCAGUGGGGAAUAUUGCGCAAUGGGCGGAAGCCUGACGCAGCGACGCCGCGUGGGGGAUGACGGCCUUCGGGUUGUAAACCUCUUUCAGCAGGGACGAAGCCGGAGGGUGACGGUACCUGCAGAAGAAGCACCGGCCAACUACGUGCCAGCAGCCGCGGUAAUACGUAGGGUGCAAGCGUUGUCCGGAAUUAUUGGGCGUAAAGAGCUCGUAGGCGGUUUGUUGCGUCGGCUGUGAAAUCCCGAGGCUCAACCUCGGGUCUGCAGUCGAUACGAGCAAACUAGAGUGUUGCAGGGGAGACUGGAAUUCCUGGUGUAGCGGUGAAAUGCGCAGAUAUCAGGAGGAACACCGGUGGCGAAGGCGGGUCUCUGGGCAACAACUGACGCUGAGGAGCGAAAGCGUGGGGAGCGAACAGGAUUAGAUACCCUGGUAGUCCACGCCGUAAACGUUGGGCGCUAGGUGUGGGGCUCAUUCCACGAGUUCCGUGCCGCAGCUAACGCAUUAAGCGCCCCGCCUGGGGAGUACGG
RNAcentral lists this ribosomal RNA (645 nucleotides) under uncultured bacterium. RNAcentral's name for it is "bacterial SSU rRNA". It matches the Rfam family "Bacterial small subunit ribosomal RNA", at positions 232 to 885 of the family's 1533-position model. The record is from RNAcentral.